Molecule: RNA transcript, 2474 nt
Organism: Scylla paramamosain (green mud crab)
Lineage: Eukaryota; Metazoa; Arthropoda; Malacostraca; Decapoda; Portunidae
Gene name: valine--tRNA ligase-like
Exons: 9
Source: RefSeq, a predicted model, not a curated record
GAGAGAGAGAGAGAGAGAGAGAGAGAGAGAGAGAGAGAGAGAGAGAGAGAGAGAUUAUUAUUAUAGUUUAUUGACAGAAUUUUGCGAUUACAAGAAGCUUAAAGUAAAAAUCAUUUCACUAAAAGAGAGAGAGAGAGAGAGUCUUGAUAGAGAGUCUUGAUAGAGAGAGAGAGAGAGAGAGAGAGAGAGAGAGAGAGAGAGUCUUGAUAGAUAAUAUUGAGCACAGUCUUCACCGCUGGGUCGACUGUGGGGGCUGCGCUAUUCCGGUUGGUGGCCGGUUGGUGGCCGUGGCUGUUCACGCACUAGCUCUUGCUGUGGCUGGCAUGCUGUUCUGUCCUCUCUUGUUCCAGGAAUUGCUGUCUGAGGUGUGUGUGUGUGUGUAGAAGCCACCAUCAUCAACCACAGCAGGUGAUAAUGAUGUUUCCUGCUUUCAUCCUCAUUGGGGCUAGCCAGACCAACUUGGGGCUGUACUGGGGUGACGCUGUGUGCCUCAGGUGUAUCUGGAGGGCUGAGAUAGUGAGAAGAGCGGCAGUGGAUCUGUACAUAGGUGAGGUGGCGAGGGGCGUGGCCAGGGGGCGGCUAGCAGCGUGUGCCACCAGGGAAAUGUGUAUGAACAUAAAAAAAGGCGCCCGUCAAGAAAGGUUUAUUGAUGAAGUGUGGAAGAAGAGGAGGAAGGAACAAUGAUAUUCGACCAGCUGCGGCAUCUGGGGGCUUCACUUGACUGGGACAGCUGGGACAUGGAUGCAGCGAGAGACUGGCCUGUGUGUCUGUCUGUACAUCCGCACACCCUUGACCUCCAUGUCCACCCAGCAGGAGGAAGAUCUGGACACCUGUUACUCCUCUGGUCCCUCCCUUUGCCUCGCUGGGCUGGCCAGGUCAGGGGAGGGGAGAGACCAUGCUCGCUUCUACGCAACGACCUUGAAGACGGGUCACGGCAUCCUCUUCUGGGUGGCUCAGGUGGUCAUGCCGGGACUCGACUUGACGGGGUGGCUUUCCUUUGAGACUGUGCUGCUGCAUGGCCUCCAGGGUGAUGGUGGCGGCCACAAGACGUCCAAGUCCUGGGGCAGUGUGAUAGACCCCCUGGAUGUCAUCAGUGGGGCGUCCCUGGAGGUGUGUGACUUGCUGGUGCUGUGUGUUCUGUACUGGUGUUCAUUGGCUGUGGUGAGCAGUACCUUGACAGCAGGUACUGUGCGAGAGGGUGGAGGGGACCCUGAAUGCGGAAGAGGUACUCGCUUGUCUCGUAUGAAGUCCCCCACAGGCAUCCCAGAGUGUGGAGCUGAUGCCCUUUGGUCCACCCUGUGCUCCACCAGCUUCAGGAGUCAGUGUGGCAUAGAUAUAUGUGGAUGACUGUGGUGUCUUGUCUUGUGUGGAGUUACAAGGUUGGUGUAUGGAUGGAACCGUCACCCCAAACAAUGAGUGGUGGAGGGUGCGUUCUGCAUUGACAGCCAGCAUGAGCGGUGACAGGAGCCAUGGGUGCCUUGCCUCCUCGCACCACCACCACAAGCACCACCACUCCUGCCAUCACCUACAAGGGGGAGACUGUGAUGUGGCUGCAGGUGGAUAGGUUCGGAGGCCUCCAGAGAGCUGCCCAGAGUGAAGCUUGUGGUAUAGAGGGACAGCUGCUAUUCAUCAAGCUUAUGGAGUGACUGGAGGAAAGUGGAGGAGCCUGCAGGAAGUGGUGGAGGUACAGUACUUGGAGAAAAUCCCUCCACCAUGAUGACUGGGUGUCUGCUGUACAGGCCACCAACCAAUGGUGAGAGAGGGAGGGAGACUGGCUAAUGGUGGAUGAGAGAGAGAGAGAGAGAGAGAGAGAGUCUUGAUAAAUAAUAUUGGGCACAGGCUUCACCACUGGGUCGACUGUGAGGGCCGCGUUCUUCUGCUAGGGAAGUAUUGGCUGGUUGGUGGCCGCGGCUGUUCACACACUCACUCUUGCUGCGGCUGGCAUGCUGUUCUGUCCUCUCUUCUUCCAGGAAUUGCUGUCUGAGGUUGUGUGUGUGUGUGUGUGUGUGUGUGUGUGUAGAAGCCAUCAUCAUCAACCACAGCAGGUGAUAAUGAUGGUUCCUGCUUUCAUCGUCAUUGGGGCUAGCCAGACCAACUUGGGGCUGUACUGGGGUGACGCUGUGUGCCUCAGGUGUAUCUGGAGGGCUGGUAUAGUGAGAAGGUAACAAUUAAAAAGGACUAGUGUACACUUAAACCAUUACAAACACUAUGUAAUGCUGGUAUACACACACAAACACUGGUUUACACAUAGAGACAUAUAUAAACACUUGCUAUGGUUUGUAUACUCUUAGAAACACACACAAACUCUUAAUAAGUCUAGUAUACACACAAACUUGUAUACAAACACUAGUAUAUAUUUAGAGACACGUCCAAAUCUUUGCUAAGUCUGAUAUAAACACACAAACUCAUAAGAGAUGCUGGUAUAUGCUUGGAAAUCUAUACACACAUUAGGUAAGACUAGUAUAUAUAUAUAU